RNAcentral lists this ribosomal RNA (442 nucleotides) under uncultured bacterium. RNAcentral's name for it is "partial 16S ribosomal RNA". It matches the Rfam family "Bacterial small subunit ribosomal RNA", at positions 338 to 795 of the family's 1533-position model. The record is from RNAcentral.
CCUACGGGUGGCAGCAGUGGGGGAUAUUGCACAAUGGGGGAAACCCUGAUGCAGCGACGCCGCGUGGGUGAAGAAGUAUUUCGGAAUGUAAAGCCCUAUCAGCAGGGAAGAAGAAAGGACGGUACAUGAGAAAGAAGCACCGGCUCAAUCAGGGCCAGCAGCCGCGGUAAUACGGAGGGUGCAAGCGUUAUCCGGAGUUACUGGGUGUAAAGGGAGCGCAGGCGGGACGGCAAGCCUGCUGUGAAAGCCCGCGGCCCAACCGCGGGACUUCAUUGGGAACUACCGGGCUGGAGUGCCGGAGAGGUAGGCGGAAUUCCUUGUGUAGCGGUGAAAUGCGUAGAUAUUUGGAGGAACACCAGUGGCGAAGGCGGCCUACUGGACGGUGACUGACGCUGAGGCUCGAAAGCGUGGGGAGCAAACAGGAUUAGAUACCCCAGUAGUC